Uloborus diversus is the source of this 104-nucleotide small nuclear RNA. NCBI's taxonomy places the organism in Eukaryota, Metazoa, Arthropoda, Arachnida, Araneae, Uloboridae. The record is from RefSeq and is a predicted model, not a curated record.
UUGGAAACUAUUGGAAAUCUACUAAAAUUGGAACGAUACAGAGAAGAUUAGCAUGGCCCCUGCGCAAGGAUGACACGCAAAAUCGUGAAGCGUUCCUUUUUUCU